UAUAUAACAUCUAUGCAACCUUGGACAAUGAACAACUACUCAGAGCCUUUUUUAUUCCUUCUGUAAAAAUGAAAGGGUUAGAUAGGAAGAUCCCUAAGGCCUGUUGAGCUCUAACAUUCUAUAAUUGUAUGAUUUACUGUUAACUGUCAAUUAGCUACGCCUGGCAUGUUUGGGAUUUGAAAUUCUCUUUGAGACACAGAAGAAUGGGCAAAGAGACUGUGGAUGGCACCUAAACCUCUCUUCUCAAAAGAACUGAAUUUCUUAUCAAAUAUGAUAUGCUUGAGCUUUAGAAUGUCAUUAGCAGCACUCCCUAAGAUGUGAGCUAGCUAGUCAAAGAGCUAGUCUCUGUCUAAAUAUCAACAUGUCUAAUGGUCUUGCUGAUGAGACAGCUUAUAGCUAAAAAAGAUUUCAAUUCAAGGCUUAAAGCACAUGCCAUGACUUCAUUCUGUCUACGCCUUAUGGCAGAGUGAAGUUUUAAAAUGUUUAAAGGGUGAGAGAACAGCUUUUCUGACCCAGGAAAAUCACUCAGAUAGGACAUUCUUUGGAUAUGAUGCAAUCAGCUAUCUAUACCAACUGGGGAAUUACUUUCACAUAUGUAGUUACCACUUUGCUUGCCUCGACUUAAAAUAUCAGAACCUGUCAUCCAAUAUUUCUUAAAUUUGAUUUGGCUCAUUCUUUGGAAGAAGGGAAUGCUAUUUCUAAGAAGGAUGGAACCCCAAGAAAGAUAAUAUGGAAGCAGACAUAUGACCACAUAAUAAAAAUUUUCUUAUAAA
Molecule: long non-coding RNA, 773 nt
Organism: Sarcophilus harrisii (Tasmanian devil)
Lineage: Eukaryota; Metazoa; Chordata; Mammalia; Dasyuromorphia; Dasyuridae
Exons: 4
Source: RefSeq, a predicted model, not a curated record